UACGAAGGGGGCUAGCGUUGUUCGGAAUUACUGGGCGUAAAGCGCGCGCAGGCGGCUAUCCAAGUCAGUGGUGAAAGCCCGGAGCUCAACUCCGGACUGCCAUUGAAACUGUUUAGCUUGAGGAUGAGAGAGGUGAGUGGAAUUCCCAGUGUAGAGGUGAAAUUCGUAGAUAUUGGGAAGAACACCGGUGGCGAAGGCGGCUCACUGGCUCGAUUACUGACGCUCAGGCGCGAUAGCGUGGGGAGUCAAACAGG
RNAcentral lists this ribosomal RNA (254 nucleotides) under uncultured bacterium. RNAcentral's name for it is "partial 16S ribosomal RNA". It matches the Rfam family "Bacterial small subunit ribosomal RNA", at positions 524 to 776 of the family's 1533-position model. The record is from RNAcentral.